AUUGAACGCUGGCGGAAUGCUUUACACAUGCAAGUCGAGCGGCAGCGCGGGGGCAACCCUGGCGGCGAGCGGCGAACGGGUGAGUAACAUAUCGGAACGUACCCAGUCGUGGGGGAUAACUAUCCGAAAGGAUAGCUAAUACCGCAUACGUCCUGAGGGAGAAAGCGGGGGAUCGCAAGACCUCGCGCGAUUGGAGCGGCCGAUAUCGGAUUAGCUAGUUGGUGGGGUAAAGGCUCACCAAGGCGACGAUCCGUAGCGGGUCUGAGAGGACGACCCGCCACACUGGAACUGAGACACGGUCCAGACUCCUACGGGAGGCAGCAGUGGGGAAUUUUGGACAAUGGGCGCAAGCCUGAUCCAGCCAUGCCGCGUGAGUGAAGAAGGCC
This 386-nucleotide ribosomal RNA is filed under the name uncultured bacterium. RNAcentral's name for it is "bacterial SSU rRNA". It matches the Rfam family "Bacterial small subunit ribosomal RNA", at positions 29 to 416 of the family's 1533-position model. The record is from RNAcentral.